This 434-nucleotide ribosomal RNA is filed under the name uncultured bacterium. RNAcentral describes it as "bacterial SSU rRNA". It matches the Rfam family "Bacterial small subunit ribosomal RNA", at positions 958 to 1392 of the family's 1533-position model. The record is from RNAcentral.
AACGCGAAGAACCUUACCUGGUCUUGACAUCCACAGAAGUUUUCAGAGAUGAGAAUGUGCCUUCGGGAACCGUGAGACAGGUGCUGCAUGGCUGUCGUCAGCUCGUGUUGUGAAAUGUUGGGUUAAGUCCCGCAACGAGCGCAACCCUUAUCCUUUGUUGCCAGCGGUCCGGCCGGGAACUCAAAGGAGACUGCCAGUGAUAAACUGGAGGAAGGUGGGGAUGACGUCAAGUCAUCAUGGCCCUUACGACCAGGGCUACACACGUGCUACAAUGGCGCAUACAAAGAGAAGCGACCUCGCGAGAGCAAGCGGACCUCAUAAAGUGCGUCGUAGUCCGGAUUGGAGUCUGCAACUCGACUCCAUGAAGUCGGAAUCGCUAGUAAUCGUGGAUCAGAAUGCCACGGUGAAUACGUUCCCGGGCCUUGUACACACCG